RNAcentral lists this ribosomal RNA (460 nucleotides) under uncultured bacterium. RNAcentral's name for it is "partial 16S ribosomal RNA". It matches the Rfam family "Bacterial small subunit ribosomal RNA", at positions 338 to 795 of the family's 1533-position model. The record is from RNAcentral.
CCUACGGGUGGCAGCAGUGAGGAAUAUUGGUCAAUGGGCGUAAGCCUGAACCAGCCAAGUCGCGUGAGGGAUGAAGGUUCUAUGGAUCGUAAACCUCUUUUAUAAGGGAAUAAAGUGUGGGACGUGUCCUAUUUUGUAUGUACCUUAUGAAUAAGGAUCGGCUAACGCCGUGCCAGCAGCCGCGGUAAUACGGAGGAUCCGAGCGUUAUCCGGAUUUAUUGGGUUUAAAGGGUGCGUAGGCGGCCUUUUAAGUCAGCGGUGAAAGGCGUGGGCUCAACCAUAGAAUUGCCGUUGAAACUGGGGGGCUUGAGUGGGUGAGAGGUAGGCGGAAUGCGUGGUGUAGCGGUGAAAUGCAUAGAUAUCACGAAGAACUCCGAUUGCGAAGGCAGCUUACUGAGCCAUAACUGACGCUGAGGCACGAAAGCGUGGGGAUCAAACAGGAUUAGAUACCCUUGUAGUC